ACUGAAGGCCUUGCACCUCUGAAUGCUCUCUGAGGUGCAGCCUUUUCUCC
MicroRNA precursor from Bison bison bison, 50 nucleotides. The record is from Ensembl. NCBI's taxonomy places the organism in Eukaryota, Metazoa, Chordata, Mammalia, Artiodactyla, Bovidae.